Molecule: long non-coding RNA, 366 nt
Organism: Orcinus orca (killer whale)
Lineage: Eukaryota; Metazoa; Chordata; Mammalia; Artiodactyla; Delphinidae
Exons: 3
Source: RefSeq, a predicted model, not a curated record
AGGCGGAGUGAGGUGAUAGUGGGACAGACGGUGGACGGGUGAUUACAAACAUGCAAAUAAUCACGGGUGUGCAGAAUGCUGGACACUUGAGGGGACAUCGCUGGAGGAUCAUACUCUGCAGGGAUAGAUUCCUCUGAAAACUUGUUAAUCUCCUGAAGGGGCUUUAAAGAACCAGGGGAAAAGGAGGUGUUGCCUUUACAUACACGGAAUAAACAGUACAAUAACAAUAGCUAUUAUCAAGCCUUCAUUUGCAGAUGCUGUAGGCCACAUAGACAACUACCAAACCUGAGAGAGAGAGCCCUUUCUAUGAAAUGGGAAAAAGAGCAUCUGACUCAUAAAGUUACAAAGACUUCAAUGAGAUAAGGU